CCCUCGAGGGGGGACUCGAGGAUUCGGAGGAGUCGCCGCCGCCCCCGCCCGACUCCUCCUCAAGACGCCGCCCCCGCCACCCAACUCCUCAAGACGCUGCCGCCCGCCGCCUCUACGCCGACGUAUCUCCUCCGGCAUACCCCUGGUUGUAAGUCCUCACCUCGCCUCGCCUCCCCUCACCCCUUUUCCUCUCGCCAUCUAGGUUUCUUCCACCCCCCGGCCAUGGCUGCUGCCUCGUCCUCCGCAGCAAGCUCGCCAAGCGCGUCGUCUCUGAGGGCGACUAGGCCGUCACCAAGUCCCAUCUCCUCCUCCUCCUAGGCUGCCCUUGGCUCUGCCUAUCUCUCUCCAAGUAGUGGCAGUGAUAAUGCUCUGCUUAUCUCUCUGCAGGUAGCGUCCAGACCCAUUUGAUAUUGAUUGACAUGCCCUUUGGCCGAAUUUUAUUAGAAGUCAAUACAUAUGUACUUAAGCAGAUUUAUUAGAACCCAUGGAUGCUGUAGUUCUUCGUUCUGGAGCAGACAGUUUCUUCAGAGAUCAUUGUCUUUUCCUGAGAAGAAUUGAUGUAUUGAUGCUUUAUUCAGCUAUUCUUCGACCACUACUGUUGUUGCGUCCGCGGUCAUAAACCCAACCUAGUUAUUAUUUCUGGAAAUUGUUUAUACUAAGUAGGCUUGAACCAGAUUGCUGCUGGUACUAAGUACAUUGUUACUUGUUCUUGUCUGUCUGAAACAAAACUGGAAGGGUACUUAGUACUUGCUUGUUUUUCCCUACAUAGUACAGCUUAAUUACACCGCUAGCUAGCUGGUGACUCUACAAGAAAGAAGCAACCACACACACACAAAAGUUCGACCGACAAACUUAAAGCUGCUGGUAUCGGUUGUUGCUCACACCUCAGGUUGCAAGGUGGACGGGCCAUCCCGCAACAACGCUGCGCUGACCCACAAAAAAUCCCACAAAGAUGCUGCUGGGCUGACCGCAUUUUCUUUGUUACUGUUUCAUGCCAAAUUAAUUAGUUAGUUACUGUUUCAGCUACAUAUAUAGUAUCGUUGUCUGUAUGAUCAAGUAGCACUAGUACCAGUUCAUCUCUGUAUGAUUAGUGCCAUGAUGGAUUCAUAAGAUGAUACAUGUGAUUUAUCUAGUUCAUCUUUGUAUGAAUUAGCACUGAUUGUUUCUUUGUUGUACAUAUAUGAUUUAUCUAGUUCAUAUUUGUUUUCGGACAACCAACUCGCUAGUUGUUUCAUUUGUUGGUUGGUUGAUGUAAGAACUGAAGGUGUUGCUUUUGCAAACUGAUUAUCUAUCCAGAAUGUUGCAGUUGUGGUACUACAUGAUCUUACUAAUGCUUUUCUACUCGAUGUGGUUGGUAGUUUCUUGGCGGUAUCACGCAGAUUGGUUCUUAUUUAUGGCAUCUAUUUUUUGUAUCAUAUAUACAUAUAUUAAUUAAUUCACUUCUGUCGUCUUCAUCAUCUAACAAUGUAGUGUGUGUGUGUUGAAAUGCAGAUGGCAGAGAACCGUGAGAUCUUUCUCAAUUCUGCCACUGAAGAUGAAGAGAGUGCUGCCAUGUUUCUUCAGAGCGAAAUGGCAGAGUUGCCUUGAGGUAUGUUCUUGCUCCUGUGAUCCAUUUUCAUUCUGCACUUGCCUCAAGCUAAUCUAAGUGACACUGUUCAUAUGAAUCCAUUGUAAGUUGUGGGAACACACUCUUCAUAUGGAGGAAAUAGUAAUGGUUGCUUGAUUUAUUUCAUGCCGGUAUAUAUCAUGCUCAAUUCUUAUCAUGAUCAUGCCUCCUUAUUUUUGUUGAUUAUAUCUGUUUAUUUCAGUAAAUCUCACGAUUUAUGUCUGUAUAUAACAAAUGAUUCUUUAGUAAAUAUGGAUACCAAACUGAAUCUUAUUUUUGUGAAUUGUCACACUAGUAUUAUGUGUAGUUUUGGGAUGGCAGUACCAUAUUGAAACUGUGUACCUAAGCCAUCAUCACUUCAGAAGUUCUAGCACUCCUGUUAGCUGUGGCACUUUUGGGAUGGCUCCAUAUUUUUUAUUUGUUCAGGUUUUUUUCCACAUCUAACCCUUGGACCAAUUCAUCUGUUUUUUUAUAGGGACCUGACCUCGCGGAAGACGGAUGACCACUUUGCUGCCACAAGUCGCCUCCACACCGUGUAGCCCGCAAACAUGUCUCGGAGCAUUUGCCAAUCAAAUUUUAUGUUGCAAUGAACCGUUGACUUUCGUUGAUCGAACAUCUUGUAUUUUUCAUUUGGACAGUGGCAUGUAUGCAUGUAACAUUUUCAUUUGAACCGUUGAUAGUCCUUGCAACAGAUUAUAUGAGCCUUUGUGUUAUUUUGCAUAAUCUAGUUGCACCAUUGUUGCAAGUACAUUUCUUCUAUGAGCUUUUGAAGCUUUUGAAAUUGUAAAAAAUUGCAUCUUUAAUUAUAGUAUACUAAUUUUGUAAAUCCUCUGUAUCAAUCCCUGUGUACCAAAUAGAAGGGGGUAUGUGAGGGGUUUGGUGAUUGGGAUGAUUUGAG
RNAcentral lists this long non-coding RNA (2504 nucleotides) under Triticum aestivum (bread wheat). RNAcentral describes it as "long non-coding RNA (TAES_LNC028021)". The record is from RNAcentral. Lineage: Eukaryota; Viridiplantae; Streptophyta; Magnoliopsida; Poales; Poaceae.